UCGGGAAUUUUGGGCAAUGGGCGAAAGCCUGACCCAGCAACGCCGCGUGAGGGAUGAAGUAUUUCGGUAUGUAAACCUCGAAAGAAUGGGAAGAAUAAAUGACGGUACCAUUUAUAAGCUCCGGCUAACUACGUGCCAGCAGCCGCGGUAAUACGUAGGGAGCAAGCUUUGUUCGGAUUUACUGGGCGUAAAGGGCGCGUAGGCGGCGCGGUAAGUCACUUGUGAAAUCUCUGAGCUUAACUCAGAACGGCCAAGUGAUACUGCUGUGCUAGAGUGCGGAAGAGGCAACCGGAAUUCUUGGUGUAGCGGUGAAAUGCGUAGAUAUCAAGAGGAACACCUGAGGCGAAGGCGGGUUGCUGGGCCGACACUGACGCUGAUGCGCGAAAGCCAGGGGAGCAAACG
This 402-nucleotide ribosomal RNA is filed under the name uncultured bacterium. RNAcentral describes it as "bacterial SSU rRNA". It matches the Rfam family "Bacterial small subunit ribosomal RNA", at positions 355 to 774 of the family's 1533-position model. The record is from RNAcentral.